RNAcentral lists this long non-coding RNA (2384 nucleotides) under Homo sapiens (human). Its description in RNAcentral is "HSALNT0330721". The record is from RNAcentral. Lineage: Eukaryota; Metazoa; Chordata; Mammalia; Primates; Hominidae.
UGUUAUUAGAAGUAGAAGCAUUUCAGUUGACAAAAAUAAUAAAGUGUCUGAAACUAACUUUGCUCAAAGAAGUAGUUCCUUAUUUGGUAGGUAGUAUUUGCUACAUUGUUAAAUAUUUUUACAGCUUGGAAGAAAUGAGUAUUACCUAGGAUAACAGAGAUAUUUCUUGAAAAAUAAAGAGAUCAUAUGACAUAAAAUAAAAUGCAAUAACGUGAUCUCUGUUGGUAUAGCCUAAGAAAAUAAAUGUUUAUUUGCAAGAUAACUUCCAGGUGAGUAACAAUAUUCCAGGUUUGCUUCUUCUAACAUUAAAUAUGAGUAUGUAUUUUUAUGCUUUUUGGCCUAAAAAAUUUUUGUAAUGGAACAAGAUAUCAUCCAGAGCUCUCAAAAGGCAAAAGAGAAGGACCAUACAGUCUGUCAGAUAAGCAAGCAUCAUAACAAGAGAACAGCUAUGAAAAUCAAUCAGAAUAAAAUUACGUAAAAGUGAGAGUGUUUUCCCUGAGGAAUUAAUUAGCAUAGCUAUCCCAAUCUGCAACACCCUCUCCAUCCAUUUUCUUCUCAAAGUUUAAUUCUUUAAACUUGUGACAAAAGAAGAAAAAAGCCAAUGGAUCUACUUACUUUACUGUGGAGGGUCUGUAAGAUUAACAAAAACAAUAUAUUCUUGGUUUAUUCACUCACAAAGCUAUUUGUAGUAGUUGAUGUAAGCACAAAAUAUGAUCGCAUCUAGUUGUUCUAUGGUCAUGCAAAGCCUGAUACUGUUGGCUAUGGCAGCUGUGAAUCUAAUAGAGGCAACAGAAGGACAGAGUCAAGUUCAAAUCCAGAUCUGACCUAGAAGGCUAUGUUCUUAACUCCCACAAAUCACAAUCUCCUACUGUAUAUAAAACCAGAGCUAAAAUAGAAGGAACCUCAUAAUGGGAUGAUAAAAAGGAAGUAGAAACAAAAGCUGCGAAGUAAGAUAACUCACCUCUCAACUUGUCAAGUCUCUGAUGUGAGAUCCAGUAUUAAACAAAGAGUCACACCGAAAGGCUUACACAGUAGAAGAGUUUAAAGUAAGGCCCUCUUUCCUUCAUCAGUCCAUCCUAUGAAUCCCAUAAUGACAGCACAUGGGGAAAUAUGAGAGUGAGAAAUAAAGUAAGUAGAUCCCCCUAUUUUUGUCUCUAUGUUUAUUAUGAUAAUUUGGGUAGCAUAUUACAACCUGAAAACUUCUACUUAUAAUUCCAUAUACUUAGACUUCUUUGCAAGCAUCCAUUUCUCUGUUUUUACCCAAUAGUUACCGAUUUUUCUUUCCAUGUGAUCCAAGGGAGGAAGCUGUCUUGGGAUGGGAUCACCAACCUAGAUAUGCAUAUUUUAAACUGGUGCCACCUCCGGGCUUUUAUCUAUUUGUGCUUAAAAAAAAAAAAAAAUCCACUUCCCUAUUUUAACUGGUCUGAGUCAUGUUUCUAGUUACCAGCUGCAACCAAAUGAAUCCUAACUGAUCUCUCAGUAUGAAGCUCUACCAAGAAGGAAAUUAAGGUUAUAAGAGAAUUUAAGCUUUUCUAUUUUUGUAACUAUAGUAGUAUUUUUAAAUAUGCCAUAUUCGUAAAACUUUUAAGUUCUUGAAACCAUCAAAACUGGACUUGGAACAAAAGUACCAAUUUUUAAAUUAUGAAAAGUCUUCACACCAAUUAUCAUGAGCUUUUAAUUAAUGUCUCAAGCAGGGAAUAACCAUCAGCACAUUAAUUAAUUGGCUUUUUCCUUAUAUUUGAAUAUUAUCAAAUUUUAACAUUCAUUUUAACUGAAGCCACCUGUUUCCAUUGUAUUACUGACUAUCAUAAAAUUCCGUUUUACUGCGUAAUUUUCACACUUCUGCAUUUUUCAAAGCAAUGUCCGUUUUUCAUAUUUCCAAACAACUGUAUUUGUAUUACAUAUAACACAUAUGUAAAUAUUUACCUUAUGGAAUAAACAUAAAACAUCAUUUAGCCUAAUAAAGCAUUGGUCAUCAAAAUAUAAACACAAUUCUGUUUUAAUUCACUUUUUUGAAAUAAACAUGCAUGAAAGAAUUAUUUGCUGUCCAUAGGGAAAAAUCACUUAAUUUUUCGAGAAUUCAGUCAUUUUCUACAAAAAAAGAGUAGGAUAGACCAUAAUCCUCUAGUUUCUCUUUCCAACUUCAAGCUCUAUGUGCAAGAAAUCUAAAAUAAUCAUCUUUCCAAAACUUUGCCAUCACAAUCAACUCUUCAGGCCAAGGCCAACAAUCCAAAUACUUGAAAUUAUAAUAAUGAAACAUUUCUACUGUUACCACUAGUGCCAUAAUCAUCUCCACUUACAAUAUAUAUGUAUUUUAUUAAAAAUUAGCAACAACAAAUUAAGUCUAAGACUACAGAUUUUUUCAGUAAACAUUUGCAUUUUGU